Molecule: ribosomal RNA, 492 nt
Filed under: uncultured bacterium
Lineage: Bacteria
Description: partial 16S ribosomal RNA
Rfam family: Bacterial small subunit ribosomal RNA
Source: RNAcentral
AGUGAACGCUGGCGGUAGGCCUAACACAUGCAAGUCGAACGGCAGCACAGUAAGAGCUUGCUCUUACGGGUGGCGAGUGGCGGACGGGUGAGGAAUACAUCGGAAUCUACUUUUUCGUGGGGGAUAACGUAGGGAAACUUACGCUAAUAUCGCAUACGACCUACGGGUGAAAGCAGGGAAUCUUCGGACCUUGCGCGAUUGAAGGAGCCGAUGUGGGAUUUGCUAGUUGGCGGGGUAAAGGGCCACCAAGACGACGAUCCGUAGCUGGUCUGGGAGGAUGUCCGGCCACACUGGAACGGGGACACGGUCCAGACUCCUACGGGAGGCAGAAGUGGGGAAUAUUGGACAAUGGGCGCAAGCCUGAUCCAGCCAUACCGCGUGGGUGAAGAAGGCCUUCGGGUUGUAAAGCCCUUUUGUUGGGAAAGAAAAGCAGCAGGUUAAUACCCCGCUGUUCUGACGGUACCCAAAGAAUAAGCACCGGCUAACUUCGUG